GCUCAGCCCUAAACAUUGAUUGUACCCCACAACCCCAAUCCGCCUGGGAAUUACGAACACGAGUUUAAAACCCAAAGGACUUGGCGGUGCUUUACAUCCCCCUAGAGGAGCCUGUCCUAGAACCGAUAAUCCCCGUUCAACCUCACCCUCUCUAGCCCCUUUCCGCCUAUAUACCGCCGUCGCCAGCUCACCCUGUGAAGGUCCAAUAGUAAGCAAAAUUGGUACAGCCCAGUACGUCAGGUCGAGGUGUAGCGAAUGAGAGGGGAAGAGAUGGGCUACAUUCGCUGGCUGCAGCGGAUUACAGAUGAUGCAUUGAAACAUGUAACUGAAGGUGGAUUUAGUAGUAAGCUAGGAGUAGAGUGCCCUGCUGAAGUCGGCCCUAAAGCGCGU
This 390-nucleotide ribosomal RNA is filed under the name Sphyraena viridensis (yellowmouth barracuda). RNAcentral's name for it is "partial 12S ribosomal RNA". It matches the Rfam family "Bacterial small subunit ribosomal RNA", at positions 794 to 1384 of the family's 1533-position model. Lineage: Eukaryota; Metazoa; Chordata; Actinopteri; Sphyraenidae. The record is from RNAcentral.